RNAcentral lists this ribosomal RNA (346 nucleotides) under uncultured bacterium. RNAcentral describes it as "bacterial SSU rRNA". It matches the Rfam family "Bacterial small subunit ribosomal RNA", at positions 43 to 373 of the family's 1533-position model. The record is from RNAcentral.
GGCCGCGGGAAUUCGAUUCAGGCCUAACACAUGCAAGUCGAGCGGUAGAGAGAAGCUUGCUUCUCUUGAGAACGGCGGACGGGUGAGUAAUGCCUAGGUAUCUGCCUGGUAGUGGGGGAUAACGUCCGGAAGCGGACGCUAAUACCGCAUACGGCCUACGGGAGAAAGCAGGGGGCCUUCGGGCCGUGCGCUAUCAGAUGAGCCUAGGUGGGAGUGGCUAGUUGGUGGGGUAAUGGCUCACCAAGGCGACGAUCCGUAACUGGUCUGAGAGGAUGAUCAGUCACACUGGAACUGAGACACGGUCCAGACUCCUACGGGAGGCAGCAGUGGGGAAUAUUGGACAAUG